This 471-nucleotide ribosomal RNA is filed under the name Triticum aestivum (bread wheat). RNAcentral describes it as "partial small subunit ribosomal RNA". Lineage: Eukaryota; Viridiplantae; Streptophyta; Magnoliopsida; Poales; Poaceae. The record is from RNAcentral.
AUGUGUGAGGUAGACGCAUCUUUAGGCCCAGUUCUAGAGAUUGACAUGGAUACCAUAACUCAUGAGAAAAUAAGAGCUAAGGUGGGAGUGAGAGACUUUGAAAAAAUCUCAAGCUACAUUGAGACCACUGACAAAGACCUGAACAUAUACAGAGUUCUACCAAGCUUGGAGAAGGUAGUUGAGAUAGCCUGGUAUGGCGAAUACAAGAGGCAACAUCUGGAAGAAACUGGAAUGGAAUGUGUGGGUGGUGAAAUAAGGAACAGACAGAAAAAUUCCAAUAAUACAGGGGAAAACGACAGAGAUAUCGUGACAUUAGGCAAUCUAAACUUGGUGCAGUUUGAAGAAAUAAAAAAAAGUGAUGCAAUUCUUUUGGCUCAACAAGAACAAGACACACACACACACACACACACACAGAGAGAGAGAGAGAGAGAUGCAAGGAAAAGGUGGAAGCAGACUUGGAAAUGGUCAUGA